RNAcentral lists this non-coding RNA (78 nucleotides) under Candidatus Neoanaerotignum tabaqchaliae. RNAcentral describes it as "TPP riboswitch (THI element)". It matches the Rfam family "TPP riboswitch aptamer (THI element)", at positions 7 to 92 of the family's 105-position model. Rfam says of the family: Vitamin B(1) in its active form thiamin pyrophosphate (TPP) is an essential coenzyme that is synthesised by coupling of pyrimidine and thiazole moieties in bacteria. The previously detected thiamin-regulatory element, thi box was extended, resulting in a new, highly conserved RNA secondary structure, the THI element, which is widely distributed in eubacteria and also occurs in some archaea. The record is from RNAcentral. Lineage: Bacteria; Bacillati; Bacillota; Clostridia.
AAGCGGGGGUGCGCCAAGCGCGCUGAGAGAGUCCCUUUGAACCUGAUAUGGUUAGUGCCAUCGUAGGGAAUGCUUGUU